AAGUCGUAACAAGGUUUCCGUAGGUGAACCUGCGGAAGGAUCAUUACCACGUAUCCACGUAUAAACCACUGCGAACCGUAUUCCCUUCAAAGGGUUGGGGUCUCUUAACCGAGAGCUUUAGGCCGACAGUCCUCUCAAUUUCGUGAUGGAGAGGCGUGUCUAGAGUUUGCCUGCAAAGGCACCUUGAUCGUUUGGAGCGGUUAUUCAUCACGAACUUCAAACCUUUUAUUAACCCCUUUAAACUUUUUGAACUGAAUCUUAAGCGCGAUGUAAGAGUGGCCUUCGGGACGCUCUGAUCACGUCUUAUACUUUACGAAAUAUUCGAACAAUUCUUAACAACGGAUAUCUUGGCUCUGAUAACGAUGAAGAACGCAGC
RNAcentral lists this unclassified non-coding RNA (376 nucleotides) under fungal sp. RNAcentral's name for it is "partial internal transcribed spacer region". The stretch from base 1 to 46 matches the Rfam family "Eukaryotic small subunit ribosomal RNA", at positions 1786 to 1831 of the family's 1831-position model. The record is from RNAcentral. Lineage: Eukaryota; Fungi.